RNAcentral lists this ribosomal RNA (467 nucleotides) under uncultured bacterium. RNAcentral describes it as "partial 16S ribosomal RNA". It matches the Rfam family "Bacterial small subunit ribosomal RNA", at positions 28 to 506 of the family's 1533-position model. The record is from RNAcentral.
GACGAACGCUGGCGGCGUGCUUAACACAUGCAAGUCGAACGGAAAGGCCCUGCUUUUGUGGGGUGCUCGAGUGGCGAACGGGUGAGUAACACGUGAGUAACCUGCCCUUGACUUUGGGAUAACUUCAGGAAACUGGGGCUAAUACCGGAUAGGAGCUCCUGCUGCAUGGUGGGGGUUGGAAAGUUUCGGCGGUUGGGGAUGGACUCGCGGCUUAUCAGCUUGUUGGUGGGGUAGUGGCUUACCAAGGCUUUGACGGGUAGCCGGCCUGAGAGGGUGACCGGCCACAGUGGGACUGGGAUACGGCCCAGACGCCUACGGGAGGCAGCAGUGGGGAAUAUUGCACAAUGGGCGGAAGCCUGAUGCAGCAACGCCGCGUGCGGGAUGACGGCCUUCGGGUUGUAAACCGCUUUCGCCUGUGACGAAGCGUGAGUGACGGUAAUGGGUAAAGAAGCACCGGCUAACUACGU